AUUGAACGCUGGCGGCAUGCUUUACACAUGCAAGUCGAACGGUAACAGGCCGCAAGGUGCUGACGAGUGGCGAACGGGUGAGUAAUGCAUCGGAACGUGCCCAGUCGUGGGGGAUAACGCAGCGAAAGCUGUGCUAAUACCGCAUACGAUCUAUGGAUGAAAGCGGGGGACCGUAAGGCCUCGCGCGAUCGGAGCGGCCGAUGUCAGAUUAGGUAGUUGGUGGGGUAAAGGCCCACCAAGCCAACGAUCUGUAGCUGGUCUGAGAGGACGACCAGCCACACUGGGACUGAGACACGGCCCAGACUCCUACGGGAGGCAGCAGUGGGGAAUUUUGGACAAUGGGCGCAAGCCUGAUCCAGCGAUGCCGCGUGCAGGAAGAAGGCCUUCGGGUUGUAAACUGCUUUUGUACGGAACGAAACGGUCUGGGUUAAUACCUCGGGCUAAUGACGGUACCGUAAGAAUAAGCACCGGCUAACUACGUGCCAGCCGCCGCAGUAA
This 498-nucleotide ribosomal RNA is filed under the name uncultured bacterium. Its description in RNAcentral is "partial 16S ribosomal RNA". It matches the Rfam family "Bacterial small subunit ribosomal RNA", at positions 30 to 523 of the family's 1533-position model. The record is from RNAcentral.